Drosophila mojavensis is the source of this 1126-nucleotide long non-coding RNA. RefSeq lists it as uncharacterized. NCBI's taxonomy places the organism in Eukaryota, Metazoa, Arthropoda, Insecta, Diptera, Drosophilidae. The transcript has 2 exons. The record is from RefSeq and is a predicted model, not a curated record.
CUUUAAAAAAUUCUGAAAGCACAAGGUAUUCAAAACAUUUUUAGAUUUAAUAAAGCACUACGAAGCAUAUAUUUUCAGACAGCUUAAUCCAGCUAACAGUAAACGACAAACAACAAACAGCAAACAUCAAACUCCAGCAUUUCGCAACUUGGCCCAGACAAUUACGACUGCAAAAUAAAUUGCAAAAGUGUUUUGAAAAACAAAUCAACGACGUUUCAAUAGCAUGUCAUAAAGCAUUUGCUUGUUCUAUUUGGUUUUGUUGUUUUCUUUUUCCGAUUUUUUGCAUUUUUUCUAUUUUUCCAAUGUUUUCUUUAUUUUUUCGUAUAGAUUGACAAUGUGAAGGACGCUGACGACUGUCAUCAAAAUGCAAACGAAGCCGACGGAACGCUUUUUGUAUUGAGCCACCAAUUCUAUGCAGUCGAAAAGUUCUCCAGCCCAAAAUUGACAAUGGCCAGUGAGCAUUUCAAACAACAACGGCACAAACGACAACAAAAAUAUUUCUGAUGUCUGGCCAUCAGUUACAGAGGACAGAGAGGACAGUGAGACGCCGAUCUAAAAUUGAUAUUGUAUAAUGAGAUAAGAACGAGGUAUGAAUCACAAGCUGAAAAUGUUUGGAGAAGACGAAUGGGAAGAAGCGAAUAUGAGAGAGGAGAGAGCCAAUCGAAAAUGAGGGACGGGGAAUGAGACAGAGAGAGAGACAUGCCUAGAGAGAUAUAGUGAGAGAGAGAGACAGAGUAAAAGACUGAAAGUUAAAGAGAGAAUGAAAGAGAGGGGGAGAUUCCCAAAUCUUAAGAGAUAAUUGACGAAAAGUCAAAAAUUUAAAGGAGGUUAAGUUCCAUGAAUGUGAACUAUGAUGGGUAAAGUUGACAAAAAAAAAAAAGAAAUAAACAUCUAAUAUAAAUUCAAGUCAAUAAGCAUAAUCUUACACAUCAAAAUCAUGUCAUCAUGUCAAAAUUUUGUCAUUCAACAUGAAGUUUAUCAGACAAAAAUCUCGCUUGUUUUAUAUCAUCUCGGAUUACCCCCAAAUAACAACGGAAUGUGUUACCAUUUAUAUAAAUGACUCUUAAGCUACACUCUAACCAGCCGAAUGUUAUGAUCUAAAAAAAUAUAAUAAGAAAACAUAAAA